This 429-nucleotide ribosomal RNA is filed under the name Bacteroidota bacterium. RNAcentral describes it as "Bacteroidetes bacterium partial 16S ribosomal RNA". It matches the Rfam family "Bacterial small subunit ribosomal RNA", at positions 355 to 776 of the family's 1533-position model. The record is from RNAcentral. Lineage: Bacteria; Pseudomonadati; Bacteroidota.
UAGGGAAUCUUCCGCAAUGGACGCAAGUCUGACGGAGCAACGCCGCGUGAGUGAAGAAGGAUUUCGGUUCGUAAAACUCUGUUGUUAGAGAAGAACAGCGCAUAGAGUAACUGUUAUGCGUGUGACGGUAUCUAACCAGUAAGCCACGGCUAACUACGUGCCAGCAGCCGCGGUAAUACGUAGGUGGCAAGCGUUGUCCGGAUUUAUUGGGCGUAAAGCGAGCGCAGGCGGUCAAUUAAGUCUGAUGUGAAAGCCCCCGGCUCAACCGGGGAGGGUCAUUGGAAACUGGUGGACUUGAGUGCAGAAGAGGAGAGUGGAAUUCAAUGUGUAGCGGUGAAAUGCGUAGAUAUAUGGAGGAACACCAGUGGCGAAGGCGACUCACUGGUCUGUAACUGACGCUGUGGCUCGAAAGCGUGGGUAGCAAACAGG